RNAcentral lists this long non-coding RNA (1127 nucleotides) under Pan troglodytes (chimpanzee). RNAcentral describes it as "lincRNA". The record is from RNAcentral. Lineage: Eukaryota; Metazoa; Chordata; Mammalia; Primates; Hominidae.
UCUCCUGCUGCACUGUGAAGAAACUGCUUGCUUCCCUCUCACCCUCUGCAGUUUCCUGAGGCCUCCCCAGCCAUGCGGAACUGCCAGAUGCAGUGCCUCAUGCCUGUAAUCCCAGCACUUUGGGAGGCUAAGGAGGGAGGAUUGCUUGAGCCUGCUUCCAUAUCGUAAACUGCCUUGGAACCAAGUACCACUACCAGGGAGACAAACUAUUGCUUAGAGGAUGCUGACGGGAGCAGCAUGCCAAAAUUGGAAGAAGGAGAAAGUUUAAGCUCUCCUCACUAUGAGUUUUCAAGUAUAAAAGACUUUUUCUUCCAUGAUUUUGAGAACAACUGUGGACUCUUGUGACCAGGACAACAGGGAAGCUUGCAGCAAGAUAGCUCCAGGUUGGAUUCACGCUUCGCACCCCAAGGGCUGCCAGCCAGAGAGGAGGAGAAGCAAUCACUCCUGCAGUUUCUGAACACUACACAGACGCCAGGUAGCUUCUUCAGGAGAACAGCCCUCUGAGGAGGCAGGAAGAGGAGGCUUCUCUUUCAGCAGCCGGAGCUGCUGAGAUCUCUGGGCAGAUUAAGCUCUCUCUAAUGGAUGGGCUCCAGCCUGGCACACUCAGUGGAGAGGGAUCCACUCAUCCAUCAUCAACACAAUAUGGUCCUCCCUGCACUUCACAGCGUCCUCUUGCUAUUGAAAAGGCUUUUUUGCCUUCUCAAGUUUCUUUGUCAACAGUCUAUAGGAAGAAGCUCAGGCCGCCACCGGCAGAGGUGAAUGCAAGCUCACGUUUUAUUUCUGACUGCUUAAUCAUUGCCUCGAUCACUGCUCAAGCUCUGCCUUUGUUUCCAAAGGUUACAUGUGGGAAAACUUCUUUUUCUAUGCUGAAAUUAAUAGGGAGGCAAAGAUGAGUCCACUGAUAAGCAGAGCCUUAAAACUCACAUAGAGAAACAACUUUGCUGGAGUGUGUGUGAGUGAACCACUAAGGAAUCAGAUAGUGUGAUGGCAGUUAUCAUUGCAGGUUAAGACAUUUCUACAAAUAUUUCGACACCUCCAUAUACUCACUCCUUUCCCCCCUGAGUGGAGAGACUCAGCUACCAAGAGAGGAAGCUCAAAAAAAACAGAAGCUUCAACCAACCAACCAA